GCUUGCACUCUGUGAAACAAGAUACAGGCUAGCGGCGGACGGGUGAGUAACACGUGGGUAACCUAGCCAAGAGAUCGGGAUAACACCUGGAAACAGAUGCUAAUACCGGAUAACAACAGAUGAUGCCUAUCAACUGUUUAAAGAUGGUUCUGCUAUCGCUCUUGGGAUGGGACCUGCGGUGCAUUAGCUAGUUGGUAGGGGUAACGGGCCUACCAAGGCGAUGAUGCAUAGCCGAGUUGAGAGACUGAUCGGCCACAUUGGGACUGAGACACGGCCCAAACUCCUGCGGGAGGCAGCAGUAGGGAAUCUUCCACAAUGGACGCAAGUCUGAUGGAGCAACGCCGCGUGAGUGAAGAAGGGUUUCGGCUCGUAAAGCUCUGUUGUUGGUGAAGAAGGACAGGGGGUAGUAACUGACCUUUGUUUGACGGUAAUCAAUUAGAAAGUCACGGCUAACUACGUGCCAGCAGCCGCGGUAAAU
RNAcentral lists this ribosomal RNA (478 nucleotides) under uncultured Lactobacillus sp. RNAcentral's name for it is "bacterial SSU rRNA". It matches the Rfam family "Bacterial small subunit ribosomal RNA", at positions 66 to 525 of the family's 1533-position model. Lineage: Bacteria; Bacillati; Bacillota; Bacilli; Lactobacillales; Lactobacillaceae. The record is from RNAcentral.